This is a long non-coding RNA of Papaver somniferum (opium poppy), 784 nucleotides long. RefSeq lists it as uncharacterized. The transcript is spliced from 6 exons. The record is from RefSeq and is a predicted model, not a curated record. Lineage: Eukaryota; Viridiplantae; Streptophyta; Magnoliopsida; Ranunculales; Papaveraceae.
GUAAACUGUGAUUCAUAAAUAAACUGUCGGUGGUGAGUGAACUGCGCCAUUUUAACUUCCUUUAGGAACCCGAAAUAAGAAGAGUAUAUUUCAAACUAUGACAAGAUAACACCUACUGUACAAAAUAUUCUCCAUACCCUGGAACUUUUGCUUCUUCAAUUUCUUUUACAGGUAAAAGAUGAUAAACGGAGGAAAAAAAACCCUAAAAAUCAUAGAAAGAAAAUCCUGAAAUUUAGAAACCGGGUGAUGAUGCAGCCUGAAGAUAUUGUAUUCAAGGUGGUCGUAGCUUCAUAUGAGCAUAUGAGCAAAAUUGUGACUGGACUUUAUGGGAAGGAUGUCAAACAGAGUUCUUACUUAUGAAGGGUGAUUGGAUUCUUGGAUCAUAGACCUGGAUCUAUUUCUUCAGGAAAUGCCUAUUGGAGAGAACAAAAACUGUUAAUUCCAUAAGAAGACUCCUGCACUUAGUUGUGGAAUGCAUCACAACUGGAGAUGGUCCAUCAUGAAAGAAUGCAAGAUCCUGAGGCUAUAUCUUUUCCGAUAUUUUACUCCGAUAGCAAGUGGUUGGCGGAUGUUUUGUCUGGUGGGAUUUCACUCUCAUCCCGAUAAUAGAUGAUACCGGAUGUACACAUCCUAUUUGAGAAUCGAAGCAGUAUUUGUAGCCAAGGUGAAAGGUUGCAUGACUUUCAAAGAUUCUAAGGAGCUGAGGUUUUAAUGUCUCACAAGUGUGUAGACUGGUUGAUAUUUCAUUAAGUAUUUAUAUGCAUGAGUUGUUACAAUAACCUAA